This 65-nucleotide transfer RNA is filed under the name Orbinia latreillii. Its description in RNAcentral is "tRNA-Pro". It matches the Rfam family "tRNA". Rfam says of the family: Transfer RNA (tRNA) molecules are approximately 80 nucleotides in length. Lineage: Eukaryota; Metazoa; Annelida; Polychaeta; Orbiniidae. The record is from RNAcentral.
CAGGUUGUAGUUUAUUAAAACCUUAGCUUUGGGAGCUAAAAUUCAGGGCUCCUCCUGCAACCUGA